Molecule: ribosomal RNA, 497 nt
Filed under: uncultured bacterium
Lineage: Bacteria
Description: partial 16S ribosomal RNA
Rfam family: Bacterial small subunit ribosomal RNA
Source: RNAcentral
GAUGAACGCUGGCGGCGUGCCUAAUACAUGCAAGUCGAGCGAACGGACGAGAAGCUUGCUUCUCUGAUGUUAGCGGCGGACGGGUGAGUAACACGUGGAUAACCUACCUAUAAGACUGGGAUAACUUCGGGAAACCGGAGCUAAUACCGGAUGAUAUUUUGAACCGCAUGGUUCAAAAGUGAAAGACGGUCUUGCUGUCACUUAUAGAUGGAUCCGCGCUGCAUUAGCUAGUUGGUAAGGUAACGGCUUACCAAGGCAACGGUGCAUAGCCGACCUGAGAGAGGGAUCGGCCACACUGGAACUGAGACACGGUCCAGACUCCUACGGGGGGCAGCAGUAGGGAAUCUUCCGCAGUGGGCGAAAGCCUGACGGAGCAACGCCGCGUAAGUGAUGGAGGUCUUCGGAUCGUAAAGCUCUGUUAUUAGGGGAGAACAUAUGUGUAAGUAACUGUGCACAUCUUGACGGUACCUAGUCAGAAAGCCACGGCUAACUACGUG